This 515-nucleotide ribosomal RNA is filed under the name Phomopsis sp. OTU4 TS-2013. RNAcentral's name for it is "eukaryotic LSU rRNA". It matches the Rfam family "Eukaryotic large subunit ribosomal RNA", at positions 107 to 648 of the family's 3401-position model. Lineage: Eukaryota; Fungi; Ascomycota; Sordariomycetes; Diaporthales; Diaporthaceae. The record is from RNAcentral.
GCUCAAAUUUGAAAUCUGGCCUCGGCCCGAGUUGUAAUUUGCAGAGGAUGUUUCUGGCGCGGUGCCUUCCGAGUUCCCUGGAACGGGACGCCACAGAGGGUGAGAGCCCCGUAUGGUCGGACACCAAGCCUGUGUGAAACUCCUUCGACGAGUCAGUAGUUUGGGAAUGCUGCUCUAAAUGGGAGGUAAAUCUCUUCUAAAGCUAAAUACCGGCCAGAGACCGAUAGCGCACAAGUAGAGUGAUCGAAAGAUGAAAAGCACCUUGAAAAGGGGGUUAAAUAGUACGUGAAAUUGUUGAAAGGGAAGCACUUGUGACCAGACUUGGGCCGGGCGGCUCAUCAGGGGUUCUCCCCUGUGCACUCCGCCCGGCACAGGCCAGCAUCGGUUCUCGUGGGGGGACAAGACCGUCGGGAACGUACCACCCUCCGGGGUGUGUUAUAGCCCGGCGGACGAUACCCUCGUGGGGACCGAGGUUCGCGCUCCCCAAGGAUGCUGGCGUAAUGGUCACCAGUGAC